AGUCUGCCUUGAAGAUCGGAGUGCUUGCACUCUGUGAAACAAGAUACAGGCUAGCGGCGGACGGGUGAGUAACACGUGGGUAACCUGCCCAAGAGAUCGGGAUAACACCUGGAAACAGAUGCUAAUACCGGAUAACAACAGAUGAUGCCUAUCAACUGUUUAAAAGAUGGUUCUGCUAUCACUCUUGGAUGGACCUGCGGUGCAUUAGCUAGUUGGUAGGGUAACGGCCUACCAAGGCGAUGAUGCAUAGCCGAGUUGAGAGACUGAUCGGCCACAUUGGGACUGAGACACGGCCCAAACUCCUACGGGAGGCAGCAGUAGGGAAUCUUCCACAAUGGACGCAAGUCUGAUGGAGCAACGCCGCGUGAGUGAAGAAGGGCUUCGGCUCGUAAAGCUCUGUUGUUGGUGAAGAAGGACAGGGGUAGUAACUGACCUUUGUUUGACGGUAAUCAAUUAGAAAGUCACGGCUAACUACGUGCCAGCAGCCGCGGUAAUACGUAGGUGGCAAGCGUUGUCCGGAUUUAUUGGGCGUAAAGCGAGUGCAGGCGGCUCGAUAAGUCUGAUGUGAAAGCCUUCGGCUCAACCGGAGAAUUGCAUCAGAAACUGUCGAGCUUGAGUACAGAAGAGGAGAGUGGAACUCCAUGUGUAGCGGUGAAAUGCGUAGAUAUAUGGAAGAACACCGGUGGCGAAGGCGGCUCUCUGGUCUGUUACUGACGCUGAGGCUCGAAAGCAUGGGUAGCGAACAGGAUUAGAUACCCUGGUAGUCCAUGCCGUANACGAUGAGUGCUAAGUGUUGGGAGGUUUCCGCCUCUCAGUGCUGCAGCUAACGCAUUAAGCACUCCG
This 843-nucleotide ribosomal RNA is filed under the name uncultured bacterium. Its description in RNAcentral is "bacterial SSU rRNA". It matches the Rfam family "Bacterial small subunit ribosomal RNA", at positions 60 to 871 of the family's 1533-position model. The record is from RNAcentral.